This 588-nucleotide long non-coding RNA is filed under the name Felis catus (domestic cat). RNAcentral describes it as "lncRNA (ENSFCAG00000045797.2)". The record is from RNAcentral. Lineage: Eukaryota; Metazoa; Chordata; Mammalia; Carnivora; Felidae.
UAAGUGAUCUUACUUUUCUAUUGUUAAUAAGAAAAAAAUUAAAGCAAACUAGAGAAGACCAACCACCUAAAACAUCUAAUACUUAAAAAAAAAAAAGUCACACACACACACACACGCACACACACACACAUGCACACACACACACACAUAUAUACUGGAGGGGAAAGAGACAGAAAAAACUAAUCUCUCCUGGGAGAGUUGUUUUCCAGUUGAGUGGAAAGAGAAAUUAAUCAGACAAAGGAAGGAUGAAGGAUCCCUUACAGAAUUGAACGCCAAAUGCUUAUACCUUUUAUUAUGUCAUAAUGACAUUUUACCUGAGUGCGGCAUGAAAGAAAAAGGGGACAGUUUCUGAGCAAGACACAGAAACCCUGUUCCAUGGGAGAGCCGCAUGGUGACCACAGCGUGCUGCCUCUCACGUGGUUCUCGGAUGAGCGAGCCAACAGAAAGAUACAGAGCUUUAAAAAAAUUCCAGGAACUGACACCCGGACCUCAUGUCCCACCUUCCACUCAGGAAGUAAAGCCAGGACUAAGUUCCCUGCUGCUACAGACGGGGCAGUGCAAGAUCAGAUAAAACUAAUCAGUAACUAA